RNAcentral lists this ribosomal RNA (558 nucleotides) under uncultured bacterium. Its description in RNAcentral is "partial 16S ribosomal RNA". It matches the Rfam family "Bacterial small subunit ribosomal RNA", at positions 355 to 906 of the family's 1533-position model. The record is from RNAcentral.
UGGGGAAUUUUGGACAAUGGGCGAAAGCCUGAUCCAGCAAUGCCGCGUGUGUGAAGAAGGCCUUCGGGUUGUAAAGCACUUUUGUCCGGAAAGAAAUCCUCUGGGUUAAUACCUCGGGGGGAUGACGGUACCGGAAGAAUAAGCACCGGCUAACUACGUGCCAGCAGCCGCGGUAAUACGUAGGGUGCAAGCGUUAAUCGGAAUUACUGGGCGUAAAGCGUGCGCAGGCGGUUUUGUAAGACGGAUGUGAAAUCCCCGGGCUUAACCUGGGAACUGCAUUCGUGACUGCAAGGCUAGAGUAUGGCAGAGGGGGGUAGAAUUCCACGUGUAGCAGUGAAAUGCGUAGAGAUGUGGAGGAAUACCGAUGGCGAAGGCAGCCCCCUGGGCCAAUACUGACGCUCAUGCACGAAAGCGUGGGGAGCAAACAGGAUUAGAUACCCUGGUAGUCCACGCCCUAAACGAUGUCAACUAGUUGUUGGGGAUUCAUUUCCUUAGUAACGUAGCUAACGCGUGAAGUUGACCGCCUGGGGAGUACGGUCGCAAGAUUAAAACUCAAAU